RNAcentral lists this ribosomal RNA (361 nucleotides) under uncultured bacterium. RNAcentral describes it as "bacterial SSU rRNA". It matches the Rfam family "Bacterial small subunit ribosomal RNA", at positions 976 to 1337 of the family's 1533-position model. The record is from RNAcentral.
UGGGUUUGACAUCCUCGGACCGCCAUAGAGAUAUGGCUUUCCCUUCGGGGACCGAGUGACAGGUGCUGCAUGGCUGUCGUCAGCUCGUGUCGUGAGAUGUUGGGUUAAGUCCCGCAACGAGCGCAACCCUUGUCCUUAGUUGCCAGCACGUAAUGGUGGGAACUCUAAGGAGACUGCCGGUGUUAAGCCGGAGGAAGGUGGGGAUGACGUCAAGUCCUCAUGGCCUUUAUAUCCAGGGCUACACACGUGCUACAAUGGUGACUACAAAGAGCAGCAAAGCCGCGAGGUUGAGCGAAUCUCAAAAAAGUCAUCUCAGUUCGGAUCGCAGUCUGCAACUCGGCUGCGUGAAGUGGAAUCGCUA